Molecule: ribosomal RNA, 495 nt
Filed under: uncultured bacterium
Lineage: Bacteria
Description: partial 16S ribosomal RNA
Rfam family: Bacterial small subunit ribosomal RNA
Source: RNAcentral
GAUGAACGCUGGCGGCGUGCCUAAUACAUGCAAGUCGAGCGAACAGAUGAGGAGCUUGCUCCUCUGACGUUAGCGGCGGACGGGUGAGUAACACGUGGAUAACCUACCUAUAAGACUGGGAUAACUUCGGGAAACCGGAGCUAAUACCGGAUAAUAUAUUGAACCGCAUGGUUCAAUAGUGAAAGACGGUUUUGCUGUCACUUAUAGAUGGAUCCGCGCCGCAUUAGCUAGUUGGUAAGGUAACGGCUUACCAAGGCAACGAUGCGUAGCCGACCUGAGAGGGUGAUCGGCCACACUGGAACUGAGACACGGUCAGACUCCUACGGGAGGCAGCAGUAGGGAAUCUUCCGCAAUGGGCGAAAGCCUGACGGAGCAACGCCGCGUGAGUGAUGAAGGUCUUCGGAUCGUAAAACUCUGUUAUUAGGGAAGAACAAAUGUGUAAGUAACUAUGCACGUCUUGACGGUACCUAAUCAGAAAGCCACGGCUAACUACGU